RNAcentral lists this ribosomal RNA (486 nucleotides) under uncultured bacterium. RNAcentral's name for it is "bacterial SSU rRNA". It matches the Rfam family "Bacterial small subunit ribosomal RNA", at positions 28 to 507 of the family's 1533-position model. The record is from RNAcentral.
GAUGAACGCUAGCGGCAGGCUUAAUACAUGCAAGUCGUGGGGCAGCAUGAAGUAGCAAUACUUUGAUGGCGACCGGCAAACGGGUGCGGAACACGUACACAACCUUCCUUUUAGUGGGGAAUAGCCCAGAGAAAUUUGGAUUAAUACCCCGUAACAUAGCGAUGUGGCAUCACAUUGCUAUUAUAGCUUCGGCGCUAGAUGAUGGGUGUGCGUAUGAUUAGAUAGUUGGCGAGGUAACGGCUCACCAAGUCUACGAUCAUUAGCUGAUGUGAGAGCAUGAUCAGCCACACGGGCACUGAGACACGGGCCCGACUCCUACGGGAGGCAGCAGUAAGGAAUAUUGGUCAAUGGACGAAAGUCUGAACCAGCCAUGCCGCGUGAAGGAUUAAGGUCCUCUGGAUUGUAAACUUCUUUUAUAUGGGACGAAAAAAGGUCUUUCUAGAUCACCUGACGGUACCAUAUGAAUAAGCACCGGCUAACUCCGUG